CCCCUAGAUGUUCUGGGCCGCACGCGCGCUACACUGAACAGUUCAACAAGUCUUAACCUUGGCCGAUAGGUCUGGGUAAUCUUUGAACGCUGUUCGUGAUUGGGAUAUACCUUUGCAAUUAUGGGUCUUCAACGAGGAAUUCCUAGUAAACGCAAGUCAUCAGCUUGCAUUGAUUACGUCCCUGCCCUUUGUACACACCGCCCGUCGCACCUACCGAUUGAAUGGUCCGGUGAAAUCUCGGGACGGCGGCUUGGUCGCUUGCGUCCGACUGCUGAAACUUGAUUAAACCAUAUCAUUUAGAGGAAGGUGAAGUCGUAACA
This 320-nucleotide ribosomal RNA is filed under the name uncultured eukaryote. RNAcentral describes it as "partial 18S ribosomal RNA". It matches the Rfam family "Eukaryotic small subunit ribosomal RNA", at positions 1470 to 1796 of the family's 1831-position model. The record is from RNAcentral.